This 496-nucleotide ribosomal RNA is filed under the name uncultured Comamonas sp. Its description in RNAcentral is "bacterial SSU rRNA". It matches the Rfam family "Bacterial small subunit ribosomal RNA", at positions 16 to 507 of the family's 1533-position model. The record is from RNAcentral. Lineage: Bacteria; Pseudomonadati; Pseudomonadota; Betaproteobacteria; Burkholderiales; Comamonadaceae.
AUCCUGGCUCAGAUUGAACGCUGGCGGCAUGCCUUACACAUGCAAGUCGAACGGUAACAGGUCUUUCGGGAUGCUGACGAGUGGCGAACGGGUGAGUAAUACAUCGGAACGUGCCUAGUAGUGGGGGAUAACUACUCGAAAGAGUGGCUAAUACCGCAUGAGAUCUAUGGAUGAAAGCAGGGGACCUUCGGGCCUUGUGCUACUAGAGCGGCCGAUGGCAGAUUAGGUAGUUGGUGGGAUAAAAGCUUACCAAGCCUACGAUCUGUAGCUGGUCUGAGAGGACGAUCAGCCACACUGGGACUGAGACACGGCCCAGACUCCUACGGGAGGCAGCAGUGGGGAAUUUUGGACAAUGGGCGCAAGCCUGAUCCAGCAAUGCCGCGUGCAGGAUGAAGGCCUUCGGGUUGUAAACUGCUUUUGUACGGAACGAAAAGUCUUGGGUUAAUACCCUGGGAUCAUGACGGUACCGUAAGAAUAAGCACCGGCUAACUACGUG